CCUACGGGAGGCUGCAGUGGGGAAUAUUGCACAAUGGGGGAAACCCUGAUGCAGCGACGCCGCGUGAGUGAGGAAGUAUUUCGGUAUGUAAAGCUCUAUCAGCAGGGAAGAAAAUGACGGUACCUGAGUAAGAAGCCCCGGCUAACUACGUGCCAGCAGCCGCGGUAAUACGUAGGGGGCAAGCGUUAUCCGGAUUUACUGGGUGUAAAGGGAGCGUAGACGGCUAUGCAAGUCAGGAGUGAAAGGCGGGGGCUCAACCUGCGGAGUGCUCUGGAAACUGUACAGCUAGAGUGCAGGAGAGGUAAGUGGAAUUCCUAGUGUAGCGGUGAAAUGCGUAGAUAUUAGGAGGAACACCAGUGGCGAAGGCGGCUUACUGGACUGUAACUGACGUUGAGGCUCGAAAGCGUGGGGAGCAAACAGGAUUAGAUACCCUUGUAGUC
Molecule: ribosomal RNA, 440 nt
Filed under: uncultured bacterium
Lineage: Bacteria
Description: partial 16S ribosomal RNA
Rfam family: Bacterial small subunit ribosomal RNA
Source: RNAcentral